ACUCCUACGGGAGGCAGCAGUGAGGAAUAUUGGUCAAUGGACGCAAGUCUGAACCAGCCAUGUCGCGUGCAGGAAGACUGCCCUAUGGGUUGUAAACUGCUUUUAUACGGGAAGAAAUAUAGCUACGUGUAGUUAUUUGCCGGUACCGUAUGAAUAAGCAUCGGCUAACUCCGUGCCAGCAGCCGCGGUAAUACGGAGGAUGCGAGCGUUAUCCGGAUUCAUUGGGUUUAAAGGGUGCGUAGGCGGAAGUAUAAGUCAGGGGUGAAAGUUGUGGCUCAACCAUAAAAUUGCCUUUGAUACUGUAUUUCUUGAGUACAUUUGAGGUAGGCGGAAUGUGUUGUGUAGCGGUGAAAUGCUUAGAUAUAACACAGAACACCGAUUGCGAAGGCAGCUUACUAAACUGUAACUGACGCUGAUGCACGAAAGCGUGGGAUCGAACAGGAUUAGAUACCCCUGGUAGCACAGAG
This 467-nucleotide ribosomal RNA is filed under the name uncultured bacterium. RNAcentral's name for it is "bacterial SSU rRNA". It matches the Rfam family "Bacterial small subunit ribosomal RNA", at positions 335 to 799 of the family's 1533-position model. The record is from RNAcentral.